AGCGAACGCUGGCGGCAGGCUUAACACAUGCAAGUCGAGCGGGCGUAGCAAUACGUCAGCGGCAGACGGGUGAGUAACGCGUGGGAACAUACCUUUUGGUUCGGAACAACACAGGGAAACUUGUGCUAAUACCGGAUAAGCCCUUACGGGGAAAGAUUUAUCGCCGAAAGAUCGGCCCGCGUCUGAUUAGCUAGUUGGUGAGGUAACGGCUCACCAAGGCGACGAUCAGUAGCUGGUCNGAGAGGAUGAUCAGCCACACUGGGACUGAGACACGGCCCAGACUCCUACGGGAGGCAGCAGUGGGGAAUAUUGGACAAUGGGCGCAAGCCUGAUCCAGCCAUGCCGCGUGAGUGAUGAAGGCCCUAGGGUUGUAAAGCUCUUUCGGCGGGGACGAUAAUGACGGUACCCGCAGAAGAAGCCCCGGCUAACUUCGUGCCAGCAGCCGCGGUAAC
This 452-nucleotide ribosomal RNA is filed under the name uncultured bacterium. RNAcentral's name for it is "bacterial SSU rRNA". It matches the Rfam family "Bacterial small subunit ribosomal RNA", at positions 29 to 524 of the family's 1533-position model. The record is from RNAcentral.